Long non-coding RNA from Phacochoerus africanus (Common warthog), 1769 nucleotides. RefSeq lists it as uncharacterized. The record is from RefSeq and is a predicted model, not a curated record. NCBI's taxonomy places the organism in Eukaryota, Metazoa, Chordata, Mammalia, Artiodactyla, Suidae. The transcript has 3 exons.
CGAGCCUCCCGAGACAGCGCCGCCUGCGGUGGAGACAAGAACUGCGGCGCCUCAGCGGGAAGCCUGUCGAGUGAGCCCCCGCGAGGUGCGGGCUCCCCGGCGGCCGCAGCUCAGGCCAAGACCUGUACCUCCUCUUGCACGGAUCCUUUCGGGAUCCUUAAGCGACUGAGCGAGGCCCGGAUGGAACAUGCAUCCUCAGAGAGACCAUGUUGGGUCCUUAACCCACUGAGCCACCACAGGGAACUCAUCGCAGUUUCAGGAAUCCAAAGGGCAAGGAAAGAAUCUGAAGUGGGCUGGGCAGAAGGGAGCGGUCAUCUUGCAGAGGCCGGGUCCAUGGUUUUUCCAGCCAGGGCAGAACCCCGCUCUGGGCCUCCUCGCUCCGCAGACAGAGACCUUAAGGCAGAGGUGUCAGCACCAGCCUUGGACAAGCAGCCUCCUCCCCGCAGAACUGUACACUGUGCAGCCGAGUUGGGACCACUGCAGCUCACAGACCCAGCAGCGGUACUAACGCCAGCACCGAGGACCCUGCCGCCCUGGGAGCCAUCAGAUGGCUGCAGGAGCUCUUUGAGGGAGCAGCCCGGACUGCCUUCUGGACCCUUCGUCAUCUGAGGAUGCAAAGCAUCGGCUCCUCGGUGUGGUGGGACAGAGCUGGGUGAGCGUGCCGCUGGGUUCUGAGAAGGCCCUGUGCUGUUGGAAGCUGGACUUGAAGGCCUGGGCCCAGGCUUGUCCUGCGUCCCUGUCUCCAGAGCCUGAGACGGCGGCCUACCCGGGAAGCAGGGUAGGCUGGUCGCAUGGGGACUUCAGAAAGGGCAGGACCUGCCCUCACGAGAUAAGCCAGACCCCUAGCUGUCCUCACUGGUUCUGUCCCUCACUGAUCCCGCUCAGGGCACCAACCCCAGUGCGCGACAGUGACUCCCAGGCUCCUUCCUGGUGGGCUCCUUGGCUUCUGGCUGCAUUUCUUGGGUGAUCCUGAAGGUCCAGAGAGCAGAACAUACAUGCUUGAUGGAGAGAACAUUUCCUACUAGGCUGUGAAUGUAAGGGCCCAAGUCUCUCUUUUUUUUAACCUAGUGGGUGUAUACAGUAGGUGCCCAAUAAGUGCUUGUCCGAUGGAGGAUUUAAGACUGCCGGACCUUCGGGGCAGCUUCUGCAAGAGGUGGAUCCCUACACAAGGCAGAUCUUUGCCACCAAAUCCAAGUCCUUGAGCCUUAUACACUGACUGGGAGCAUCUCCUAUGGAUUUCCAUGCAUACAUGAACACCCACCUGUUCAGAACCAACAUAAUGGCCAGCUCGGGACUCUAGAUUCAGUUGGACAAAGUGGUGGCCAUCAGAAUAGUGCGGUGAGGGGCCGAACAGGACACAAGACGGAGGCAUAUUCCUAGUUUCUGGUUUUCCUCCAGCCCAUGGUGCAGCUCAGGGUGGACCUCCCAUCACCACAGAACGAUGCAGUUGUGUGCAGAGGCUGGCUGUUGAGCUCCCAGGCGUAGUGCGUGCUUUCUCACAAGGGAAGUGAGAGCCCUCUUGUCCCACUGCUGCUGAGCUGAUGUUUCCUGUCCCACGUGAGCCCCAAGGAUGCCAGAGACAGGGGCAAUGGUGGGUGGCUAGCUGGUGCCAAUCAGAUGGCAUCAGUGUCCAAAGAGCCACUUGGAAAGGCCAAACCAGCCCCUGGAAAACAAUGCAAGCAGCUCGUGGACACGGGAGGCGAUGGGAAAAAAAAACAGAAAAUGAGAAGGAAAGUAAAUCAGCAGAUGGGAGGGGAAAAAAGGGAAAC